CCUACGGGAGGCAGCAGCUAAGAAUAUUCCGCAAUGGACGAAAGUCUGACGGAGCGACGCCGCGUGGAUGAUGAAGGCCGGAAGGUUGUAAAAUCCUUUUAUGACUGAGGAAUAAGUGAAGUGAGAGAAACGCUUCAUGGUGACUGUAGGUCAUGAAUAAGCAACGGCUAAUUACGUGCCAGCAGCCGCGGUAAU
This 195-nucleotide ribosomal RNA is filed under the name uncultured bacterium. RNAcentral describes it as "partial 16S ribosomal RNA". It matches the Rfam family "Bacterial small subunit ribosomal RNA", at positions 338 to 524 of the family's 1533-position model. The record is from RNAcentral.